CCUGAGCUGAAGGCAGACGCUUAACAACUGAGCCACCCAGGAAUGGUUUUGAAGACUUCUAAUUUGUUUCCCCACUUAGAGAAUUCCCCUUUGUCUUUUGGGGUAUAUGUGUUAAAUAUAAGGUAGGCUGGAGUCAGAAUUGCUAGAAUCAUUUCAAAUGCAAGUGUGGUUGUAGAGAAUGAUGACAGGUAGUCAUCAUAGUAUGGGUCAAUCAGAGUCAAUGUAGGAUCUAGAAAAUUAGGAGUUACAUGUUUUGGCGUCUUUCAGCUUCGAAUUCUGUAGUGUUUAUGACAUGAACAGAUUUGUGUGGGUAAUCCCUAGGGUGGCAGUGAGUACUAGCCUGCCUCCUUCCCUGUUCUGUUAUCCAGCCCACCCAGCAGAUUGUGUUCAGGGACAGGCUGUGUUUUUAGGAAUCCCUUAUUACUGAAGUUAAUAAUAAUAUAGUUAUAAAUAUGAACGCCUGGAGGUGUCCAGAUGUGCCUUAACUAAUGUAAAUGGUUUUCAUUCAGAAGUUUAAAUUUUUACUCCAUUAUAAAAUCUUGCCAUGAGGAACUUUCCAAACCAUGAAUAUCAGUUAUUUUAAUGAAUUUACCUUGGUGCUUUUUCAUUUUGGAGAAAUUUCCCUUUGUGAAAAUAGCAUUAGUUCAUAAGGAAUUGUACUUGCCACGGUGUUCAACAAUGUGUUAUAUUUGACAAAAAGUGUUUACGGUAAGAAAGAUUAACUACAUUGGUACAUUUAUUUAUGCUCUUGCUUGAUUUUGCUACAUGCUAUGAUUUUCAUUUUAAACAUUUCUCAGUUACUACAAGCAAUAUUUAUCUGUAUUUUGCUCUCUUCUUAGCUGCAGAUGGAUGCAGAAAAUGGAAUUCUAUUAGAGACUUAUUUAAAAGUUUAAUUCCAGUAAAUGGUCAGAGGAGUCUGAAAUUAAUUUUCUUAUUAGAAACAUUCAAAAAGCACUGUUUUUGCUUUUUUUCCUAGAUUAGAAUGUUUUUUGUCAUCUGCUUUUUUCCUGAUCUGUUGAGAAUUAUUGUUUUAGUUAUUUGUGGGGAAAUCGCUUCUUAAAAUGUUUGUUGCUUGAAUUAAAGUUUUCAUAUGGACGAUACAAUUAAGUGCUUUGUUUUAUGGCUCAAACUACGCCUGGAAGUAGAGUUGAGAAUGGGGACUAAGAAUCAGGUGGGCAGGCAUCUUGGUCAAGUGGAGCUGACACUGGGUUCCAGUCUCUCCAAAGGCAUGAUGGGUCCUCAGAGCUUCCUCUGAAUCAUGAGGGUGUUGAGCUCCGUUAUCCCUGACUUCUGAAGAAGGUGGACUGCCUUGGACUCCAUACACAAUUUUAAUAGGUAUCAAUUUUCACAAAAUAUCUGUUAUAAUUUGCUACCAUUUUGUAGUUGUUUAGGAAAUUGUGAGCAAUUAGACACCUGCUAUGUAAAUUGUAGCUGAAUCUUUAUCUUGGGAAACAUUGAAAUACCAUUUCCGCCCACCCCUCCUCCCAGUUCUUCAAUCAAAAAUUCUUUUGAGUUGUUCUUUCAUAGGUAAAUAUUAAAAAGUUUUUAUAAAAUGACUCAGUGUAUUUUAAAAAUGAACUGAAAGGGAAAAGACAUUGAUGCCUACUUGUUACACUGAAAGACCUUGUUUAAAAAAAAAUUAGAAACCUUAUGAAAAUAUAUUUAAGCUAUGAAGUUUAUCAUAUUUUCAUUUUUAAAUUAUAGCAGAGUUUAUGGAACAGUUUACUUUUUAAAUUGUAGCAGAAUUUAUGGAACAAUUUACAUUUACAUUACGGAGAGAUUAGUUAUAUAAUAAUCUUGGUCCUAAGAAAUGUUCAAGUUCUGUACUCACUGGUCAAAUGGUCAUUAUUUUUUUCAGUGCUAAGAGAUUUAGUUUCAGGUAAAGAAAAGGAAAACACAAAUGGAACAAAAGAUUAAAAACAGUAACAAGAAACUUACCACAGAAAUAAAGAUAUAACCAAUGAUGUGUCUGUACAAGUGACAGAAUUGUUGGGAGCAGAUGAGCUGUACAAGCUUUAUGGUGGGGAUAUGAUUUCAGAAUUAGCUCUAUGUUAUUUGUGCCUAGGAGAUUAGGGAUUGGUGUGCAAACAGAAUCCCAUUAAUACUCUCAUCUGAACCAUGACUUCCACCUACUCCACAGUAGACUGAAACCUUUCAGUAGAUAGAAGUAGGCAAAUAAUCAGAUACUAAGUUUAAUUUCUUUGCCAGUGUGUUUCAACAGUUGGUGGUUUUACUAACCAGAAAUUAAACUGAGGGACUGGCUGAGAUAGGAUUCAGUAAUAAGGUUGUCUAGAUAUGAAGUAACUAUCUCCCACAGGAGAGUUGACAGCAUAUUGUGCGGCGUUACAAUUAAGAGAUGAGAGCAAAGCAUUAGCUUAUCAUUUGAUAAGCAUUUUUUUUUCAUUUUUAUAAAAAGACCAAUGACUCACUUUUCCUAAAAAGCUAUUGGCCUUUCAUUAGUAUUACCUAAGAAGAUAGAUGGCCAACUGGGUCCUGGCACUAUUUUCACCUUGGAAACUACUGUGUCCUUUGUAUGUUAAGUAUUUCAGGAAAAUGGGAAGGAUUCUGAAAAGGCUGUGUGUUACUUCCCACGUAAGCUCUCACUGUCCAGCAGCCACCGGCCCUUCUCUGUGCUCCGUAUCCUAUUGCAGUAUGAAUUACAGGAUGCUGUGCCUGUCUGUUAGUACCAACACCGUGUGUGGGGUAGGGGUUGUAACCAGUCUCUGGAUGUGUAUGGUACUAUGAAACACUUUAUAAUUCUAUAGUUGUAUGGCGGUGUUAAGCCACAAAUGUAUAAAGAACAAUAGUUUCUAUUGCUUACUGCUGUGUUUUAAAAUAUUGUUUCUGAAAUAAUAUAUUUAGAGUUCCUUUAGAGUAAUUAUUUUUAAAAACUAUUGCCAAAUAUCCUGUAAAAUGAACAAAAGCCACUUCAUCUUGGUUAACAUUUUAGCCUUAUGUUAGAGUACAUUAUCUUGAUUUUGCAUGAUUAAAAUAUUUUUGAAGAGCUGGAA
Non-coding RNA from Callorhinus ursinus (northern fur seal), 3011 nucleotides. Lineage: Eukaryota; Metazoa; Chordata; Mammalia; Carnivora; Otariidae. The record is from RefSeq and is a predicted model, not a curated record.